RNAcentral lists this ribosomal RNA (936 nucleotides) under Triticum aestivum (bread wheat). RNAcentral describes it as "partial small subunit ribosomal RNA". The record is from RNAcentral. Lineage: Eukaryota; Viridiplantae; Streptophyta; Magnoliopsida; Poales; Poaceae.
AUGUUCGCGCCGGCUGCGGGUGGUUCGCAAUUUUGGCAUCAACUGGUUAAAGUCCGGCCAAUCUUUCGGUCCCUUGUUAAAUUUGUAGUUAGGAACGGUAAGUCUACUCGGUUUUGGCUUGAUUGGUGGGUCGGGGACUCCACACUGGCCGUUGCUUUUCCGGUUCUAUUUUCUUAUUGCGAUGAUACGGAGGUUUCUAUCUCUGAACUCUCGGCUAGGGGUUGGGUUCUAGAUUUUCGUCGUUCUCUUUCUCCUGAAGAGUUGGAAGAUUGGCAGCGCCUUACUGCUUGCUUCCCCCUGCUCUCGGAGGAAGAGGAUGCCGUGGUGUGGCCCCUCUCCUCUUCGGGGCGUUUUUCGGUUAAAUCUGCUUACUCCAAACUUAUUCCUGGGGGGUGCCCGGUCAAGUUCAAGCAUAUCUGGUCGGCUCGAAUUCCUCCUAAGAUCAAGAUAUUUCUCUGGCAAGCUGUCCGAGGUAAGCUUCUGGCGGCCGAUCAGAUUAAGAAAAGAAACGGGCCGGGAUCCGACAGGUGUGUGCUAUGUGGAGCACUGGAGAACACCGAGCAUAUUUUCUUUCACUGCUCUCUAGCUAAGCUUCUGUGGUGUUGCAUGAGACUCUGGUUACAUGUAAAUUGGUCCCCUUCCUCCUUUGACGACCUGAGGCAUUGUGUCAAUCUGCUUCCUGGCCAUUCUAAAAGAGUAUUCUUAGUUGGAUGGGCUGCGAUUGGAUGGUCGUUGUGGGCUACUAGGAAUAAGUUCUCGAUUGAACGUAUUUUUCCGGCUAAUCCUGUCAAUUGCUUAUUUAAAGCCAAUGGUUUCUUGCAGCAGUGGAGAUUAUUGACUAAAGAAGGGGACCUCCAGGCCUUCGACGCCAUGCUAUCUAAGAUGAAAUCUACGGCGUCUGGGCUUCUUCGGCUUUCCUUGAGGACGGCUUCCUGA